AUACAGAGGGUGCGAGCGUUAAUCGGAAUUACUGGGCGUAAAGCGCGCGCAGGCGGCUUAUUAAGUCAGAUGUGAAAUCCCCGGGCUCAACCUGGGAACUGCAUCUGAUACUGGUAAGCUAGAGUUUUGGAGAGGGAAGUAGAAUUUCAGGUGUAGCGGUGAAAUGCAUAGAGAUCUGAAGGAAUACCAGUGGCGAAGGCGACUUCCUGGCCAAAAACUGACGCUGAGGUGCGAAAGCGUGGGUAGCAAACGGGAUUAGAAACCCUAGUAGUCC
RNAcentral lists this ribosomal RNA (274 nucleotides) under uncultured bacterium. RNAcentral describes it as "partial 16S ribosomal RNA". It matches the Rfam family "Bacterial small subunit ribosomal RNA", at positions 523 to 796 of the family's 1533-position model. The record is from RNAcentral.